CAGUAGCCGCGGGAAUACGUAGGGUGCAAGCGUUAAUCGGAAUUACUGGGCGUAAAGCGUGCGCAGGCGGUUUGUUAAGACAGAUGUGAAAUCCCCGGGCUUAACCUGGGAACUGCAUUUGUGACUGGCAAGCUAGAGUAUGGCAGAGGGGGGUGGAAUUCCGCGUGUAGCAGUGAAAUGCGUAGAUAUGCGGAGGAACACCGAUGGCGAAGGCAGCCCCCUGGGCCAAUACUGACGCUCAUGCACGAAAGCGUGGGGAGCAAACAGGAUUAGAUACCCCGGUAGUCCCUGUCUCUUAUAC
This 301-nucleotide ribosomal RNA is filed under the name uncultured bacterium. Its description in RNAcentral is "partial 16S ribosomal RNA". It matches the Rfam family "Bacterial small subunit ribosomal RNA", at positions 509 to 807 of the family's 1533-position model. The record is from RNAcentral.